This 1343-nucleotide ribosomal RNA is filed under the name uncultured bacterium. RNAcentral describes it as "16S ribosomal RNA". It matches the Rfam family "Bacterial small subunit ribosomal RNA", at positions 28 to 1378 of the family's 1533-position model. The record is from RNAcentral.
GACGAACGUUUGCGGCGUGCUUAACACAUGCAAGUCGAACGGAAAGGCCCUGCUUUUGUGGGGUGCUCGAGUGGCGAACGGGUGAGUAACACGUGAGUAACCUGCCCUUGACUUUGGGAUAACUUCAGGAAACUGGGGCUAAUACCGGAUAGGAGCUCCUGCUGCAUGGUGGGGGUUGGAAAGUUUCGGCGGUUGGGGAUGGACUCGCGGCUUAUCAGCUUGUUGGUGGGGUAGUGGCUUACCAAGGCUUUGACGGGUAGCCGGCCUGAGAGGGUGACCGGCCACAUUGGGACUGAGAUACGGCCCAGACUCCUACGGGAGGCAGCAGUGGGGAAUAUUGCACAAUGGGCGGAAGCCUGAUGCAACAACGCCGCGUGCGGGAUGACGGCCUUCGGGUUGUAAACCGCUUUCGCCUGUGACGAAGCGUGAGUGACGGUAAUGGGUAAAGAAGCACCGGCUAACUACGUGCCAGCAGCCGCGGUGAUACGUAGGGUGCGAGCGUUGUCCGGAUUUAUUGGGCGUAAGGGGCUCGUAGGUGGUUGAUCGCGUCGGAAGUGUAAUCUUGGGGCUUAACCCUGAGCGUGCUUUCGAUACGGGUUGACUUGAGGAAGGUAGGGGAGAAUGGAAUUCCUGGUGGAGCGGUGGAAUGCGCAGAUAUCAGGAGGAACACCAGUGGCGAAGGCGGUUCUCUGGGCCUUUCCUGACGCUGAGGAGCGAAAGCGUGGGGAGCGAACAGGCUUAGAUACCCUGGUAGUCCACGCUGUAAACGGUGGGUACUAGGUGUGGGGUCCAUUCCACGGGUUCCGUGCCGUAGCUAACGCUUUAAGUACCCCGCCUGGGGAGUACGGCCGCAAGGCUAAAACUCAAAGGAAUUGACGGGGCCCCGCACAAGCGGCGGAGCAUGCGGAUUAAUUCGAUGCAACGCGUAGAACCUUACCUGGGUUUGACAUGGAUCGGGAGUGCUCAGAGAUGGGUGUGCCUCUUUUGGGGUCGGUUCACAGGUGGUGCAUGGCUGUCGUCAGCUCGUGUCGUGAGAUGUUGGGUUAAGUCCCGCAACGAGCGCAACCCUUGUUCACUGUUGCCAGCACGUUAUGGUGGGGACUCAGUGGAGACCGCCGGGGUCAACUCGGAGGAAGGUGGGGAUGACGUCAAGUCAUCAUGCCCCUUAUGUCCAGGGCUUCACGCAUGCUACAAUGGCUGGUACAGAGAGUGGCGAGCCUGUGAGGGUGAGCGAAUCUCGGAAAGCCGGUCUCAGUUCGGAUUGGGGUCUGCAACUCGACCUCAUGAAGUCGGAGUCGCUAGUAAUCGCAGAUCAGCAACGCUGCGGUGAAUACGUUCCCGGG